Solanum verrucosum is the source of this 173-nucleotide long non-coding RNA. RefSeq lists it as uncharacterized. The record is from RefSeq and is a predicted model, not a curated record. Lineage: Eukaryota; Viridiplantae; Streptophyta; Magnoliopsida; Solanales; Solanaceae. The transcript has 3 exons.
CUUACUGGGUUGUCAAUUCCUUUGGAUCAUAACGUUCUAUUCUACACAGCUUCCUGGUCCAAACUAUCACUGUCGUGAGGGUUCAAAGCUUGCCACGCUUCCUCCUCCUGACAACAUUUUACAAUCACUAUUGAUUGUUCCUCGUGGUGUGCUUUAUGGUUGUGGUGAUCUAU